Molecule: ribosomal RNA, 517 nt
Filed under: uncultured bacterium
Lineage: Bacteria
Description: bacterial SSU rRNA
Rfam family: Bacterial small subunit ribosomal RNA
Source: RNAcentral
ACUGGGCGUAAAGGGCACGCAGGCGGUGACUUAAGUGAGGUGUGAAAGCCCCGGGCUUAACCUGGGAAUUGCAUUUCAUACUGGGUCGCUAGAGUACUUUAGGGAGGGGUAGAAUUCCACGUGUAGCGGUGAAAUGCGUAGAGAUGUGGAGGAAUACCGAAGGCGAAGGCAGCCCCUUGGGAAUGUACUGACGCUCAUGUGCGAAAGCGUGGGGGGCAAACAGGAUUAGAUACCCUGGUAGUCCACGCUGUAAACGAUGUCGAUUUGGGGGUUGAGCUUUGAGCUUGGCGCCCGUAGCUAACGUGAUAAAUCGACCGCCUGGGGAGUACGGCCGCAAGGUUAAAACUCAAAUGAAUUGACGGGGGCCCGCACAAGCGGUGGAGCAUGUGGUUUAAUUCGAUGCAACGCGAAGAACCUUACCUACUCUUGACAUCCAGAGAACUUUCCAGAGAUGGAUUGGUGCCUUCGGGAACUCUGAGACAGGUGCUGCAUGGCUGUCGUCAGCUCGUGUCGUGAG